GGGGACAAAGUGACAGGUGGUGCAUGGUUGUCGUCAGCUCGUGUCGUGAGAUGUUGGGUUAAGUCCCGCAACGAGCGCAACCCUUAAGCUUAGUUGCCAUCAUUAAGUUGGGCACUCUAAGUUGACUGCCGGUGACAAACCGGAGGAAGGUGGGGAUGACGUCAAAUCAUCAUGCCCCUUAUGAUUUGGGCUACACACGUGCUACAAUGGACAAUACAAAGGGCAGCUAAACCGCGAGGUCAAGCAAAUCCCAUAAAGUUGUUCUCAGUUCGGAUUGUAGUCUGCAACUCGACUACAUGAAGCUGGAAUCGCUAGUAAUCGUAGAUCAGCAUGCUACGGUGAAUACGUUCCCGGGUCUUGUACACACCGCCCGUCACACCACGAGAGUUUGUAACACCCGAAGCCGGUGGAGUAACCAUUUAUGGAGCUAGCCGUCGAAGGUGGGACAAAUGAUUGGGGUGAAGUCGUAACAAGGUAGCCGUAUCGGAAGGUGCGGCUGGAUCACCUCCUUUCUA
RNAcentral lists this ribosomal RNA (515 nucleotides) under Escherichia coli. RNAcentral's name for it is "bacterial SSU rRNA". It matches the Rfam family "Bacterial small subunit ribosomal RNA", at positions 1022 to 1533 of the family's 1533-position model. Lineage: Bacteria; Pseudomonadati; Pseudomonadota; Gammaproteobacteria; Enterobacterales; Enterobacteriaceae. The record is from RNAcentral.